RNAcentral lists this long non-coding RNA (4243 nucleotides) under Equus caballus (horse). RNAcentral describes it as "lncRNA (ENSECAG00000051399.1)". The record is from RNAcentral. Lineage: Eukaryota; Metazoa; Chordata; Mammalia; Perissodactyla; Equidae.
GAAAGCAGCGCUGGAAGGGAGGAAUCAGCGUGUGCCUGUGAUGCGGGGUGGGUGAGCUGAAGAGUCAAAAGAAAGAUUUCUUGGACUCUCAAGGUCUGGCAGUAGUGCUCUUUUAUUUAGAGAAUAGUGUGGAAUAGCAUGGGGACAGGACCCAUGGGCAGUCAGAGGUGCUGCAUGGGGACAGGACCCACGGGCAGGAGGAGCUGCUGCUGCUGCAUGGGGACAGAACCCAUGGGCAGUCAGAGCUGCUGCUGCUGCUGCUGCAAACAUGGGUGGAGAGUAGGGCUAAAUUUAAGGCAUAGGUAUGUGAGUUAUCUCUUUACAAGACAAAGGAAAGAAUAUGUAAAAAAGUUGUUAAAAUGGUAUCAGUGGAGGUAGGAUCUGGUUAUUGGGUGGUCUUAUAACUUUUAGAUAAGAAUCAAACCAGAUUAAGUAAAUGGUAGGAGCCACCGCCUUAAAUAUUAUCUUCAGCUAAAGACAAAGGAGGAUGUUGGUGGGCGGGUCAGUUACAUGAGGUUACCAGACAGUAAACAACUUAAGUCCUUGCCUUCCCCAUUAAGAGUUUCCAGAGAUAAGGCCAGGCCCCCUCCCUCCUGGUGCAGAGGGAGACACCCCCACACAUGGAGACUUCCUUCACAAAUGCAAAUGUCUCUCAUCAAAGGGCAAGCAAAUUCCACUCCUCAGAGCAUCCUUCUCAUCUGCAGUUUUUUAAAAGUAACCAGCCUAAAAUAUUCCUCAUCACCAGGAGUGCAGAGGAGCUGGCAACUGUCUGGAGCUGACACCUGGCCAUAAGCUGCAGCUCGUCUGAUCUAUGCCACAAGGCCUGAGCCUCGACGUUAUGAACAUUAGUCAUAUACAUGGCUGAGGAAAGAGGUGAGGACUGGUGUUCUGGUGGACUUAUCUCAGGUAAAAAGAAUUUGAGAACAGAACAAAUGUAGUGGGUCAAAAUUCACUCACAUUUAUCUGUAACUAACUCGCCUUGAAGAGCUCUCAACUAUGUUCUCACAUUUUAAUAGUCUUAAUUCUAACUGUGGAGCUCAAAGAGUUUUCUGCUAGCAGUGGUUCUUAAAGUUUAGCAUCUAUCAGAAUGAUCUAGAGGGUUUGUUAAAACACAGUUUGCUGUGUACCGGCCCUAGAGUUUCUGACUCAGUAGGUCUGGGGUGGGGCCUGAGAAUUUGCAUUUCUAACAAGUCCCAAGUGAUGCAAUGCUGGGUCUGGAGAUCUCAGUUUGAGAAUUACUGCGCUAGACUAGAGGAAUGUCCUACAAUAGUAAGCACCUGGGGAGAUUCUGCUAAGCCACUAGGGGCCACUGUAUUCUCCUUAGACCUGUGUACCCAGCCAGUCCUGGGGUCCAGCCUCAAUUCCCCUUUCUCUGGUGACUUAGAUGCUGGCACACACUAGCACUACUCCACACUCCGGGAGAGGCAGAGCUUCCUCCCCAAGUGCACCUGUGCCAGCACAGGUCUACCUUGGAACAUCCUUCACCACCUCUCACUGCAAAGGACUCUCAGCUGUAGAGUCUAUGGUUUAUGAGACAAUUUAUGUUAUUUUAGAUAGCUUUUAAUUAGUUUUUGAAAAAUUAUCACCCAUCUCACCUCCAAGUGAUGUGUGGAAUACAUUUUCAGCACGCAUAUUUUGAGUUGACCAUGUCUCAGAACUUCUCAAUAUCUACACCAGUCAGGCCAAUUUGGGGUUUGACAAACAUGUCAUCGUAGAUAAAAUAGUAUCUUGAUUAUCAGAAGAGUGUUGAGGUUAAGUGGUGGGCUCUGAAGUCAGGCUGCCUGAGUGUGAAUUCCGACUCUGUUCUUAUCUAACCAGGUCACACUGAACAAGUUCUUUAUUGUCUCUGUGCCUUGUUUUCUCAUCCAUGUUAUGCUACCUCAUAAGGUUUUCAUUUUAAAAAAACCAAUAUCUAUCAUGUCCUGAGAACAGUAUGUGGAAAAGAAGAGGUAUUCAAUAAUUAUUGAUUGAUUAAUUACUGUAUGGCAACAAUUAUCAUUAUAAAAGAACUGUAAUUAUACUGGGGAAUAUAUGAGUAGAAUUUAUUCAGUUUCUCACUAAUUAAGAUUGGCCGUAUCCUCACAAGACUAAUAGGCAGGCAUAAAGAAUAACGAAUUUCUUGGAUCCUAAACUUUUUGCAAUAGUCUUCUUGGUGAAACAGGUUGAGCUCUCAGACACUCACACCAUCGGGGGGAAUGGCUGUGUCUUCCUGCACUCAGUCACUGCCGUGGGUUUCAAAUAGCAUGGCAAGGAAUUUUGCCUUAAAAAGGAAAGACCCAGUUUAGGAGUAUGAACAUAAAUCUCAAUUCGAUGCAAAAGCACUAAACCCCCACUGAGUGUAGUAGAAAGAUCUAAGUUCCUACAGGACUCUGUGUGCUGGGUACUGUUGUUGUCUGCUGUUCACAGGUGAGGAAUUGAGGCUUGGGGAGGAGACAUGACUGCACAAAGGCUCAGUGCUAAUAUCCAGCUGAACCAUACUCCAAGUCAGGCGCCCUGACACCAGAGGCCCAUGCUCUUAACCAUUCUGGCUUCUUGGCUCUGGGUUGGUCCUAGAGACAACUACUCUCAGUAAAUAAUUAGGAUUCAUACAGCUUUGGUGUCAGUGAUAGCAGAGAAGUUGACAUUACAUACUCUGUCUUACCAGGUACAGAGAAGAGACCUGGUAUAGUGGAAAAUUUCAGGACCAUGACCCUUGGUGUCUGAGAAAAGAAAAGUGAGAAGAUGUAUGCUGUUGGAUUGGACACAGAGCACAUAGAAUAAGUCACAUGGAAUGUUUUACCAUCUGUCUGGAUGUUUUAAAAGCAGGCUGACUACACUCAUAAUGUCAUAUCAUAAUUACUCAGAGAUUACAUCAUAGCCUAUUUUUAUUCUGUCAUCUAGUAAUUUGUGUACUACUGAUUAAGACUAGCAAGAAUAAAACUCUAGGCUCCUAUGGUCAGGCUAUUCAGCCUCCUGUUAGACAAAUUACAAACAUAAGUUGAGUGUCCACUGGCUGCUCAGUCUUUGUGCUAAGCUUUCGGGAAAAACAUAAAAAUAUCAGACAUAGUUCCCAUCCUAAAAGAACAUGUGAUCUUGUUAGUAAGAUAAAGUAAACACAAUUAAAAUGAUUAUAUGAAGUAGGAAUGACCGAAAUAGAAGAGGAUAAGAUAAGAGAAUGGUAGCCAGGAAGACAACAUUACGUUGACAGCAUGGGAAACCUGUGAAUAAAGAGAAGAAAGCAUGCAAGCUUUGUUUAGUCACUCUCCUUGCAACAGGACAAUCAAUUUGAAAUUUAGGCUGAGGGCAGAAUGUGGAAAGCUUUUACUAUCUGGCUAAGGAGUUUAGAUUUUAUUCUAGAUUUUAAAAAUAUUCUUUUAGGGGCCAAAUACGUUUUUCACACAAACUACAAUAUAAUUCUCUUGAAUGAAACUUCUGCUUCUACCAAGAUGGAGAAACAGGGAAUAGCUUUACCCUCUUACCUAAAAACAACUAAAAAAAUUCACAGAAUAUGUGAUAUAAUGGUUUUCUAGUCAUUGGUCAACAAGCAACAAAGGGCAAUGGACCUUUUAGAGACUGGAAAUAAACAAGGUGAGCCCUAUGACUGCCCCAGAUUACUGCUUGGAGAGGUUCCAGGCCUGGGCACAGGGAGUUUUCAGACCCUGUCUAGCAAUCUCCUUGAGUUAAGGAGAUGCAGCUGGGAGUCUGAGGUGGCUAAUUUGGCUGGAGCUCUUAGAGCACAAUACUGGAAAGGAGGGAGCUACUCAGAGAGAGAGAGACACACAGAGAGAGAGAGAAAGAGAGCUCUGGAGACCUACAGAUGCUCUCUCUCAAAUCCUCAGCCAGGUAGUGAUGGGUGCAUGUGUGUGAGGAAAGGAACACCCAAAGGGAUUAGAGGAAAAAUCCUCAGAAUUCACCAGAAGUAGUUCCUGUUUCCCCAAGCCAGAGUGGGGAAGCUCAUACUUCACAGGAAAUCAGGAAGCAGACUCACAAGAGCUUUGCCUCAAUAGUGGGGAAAAUUAACCCCAGACUAAGCACUGUGCUGGUUCUUUAUAACAAAGCUAAAAAUCUGAAUCUAAAGAAUCAGUUUCCAAGUAACUUAAUUGCACCUCAGAAAAAGACUCAAAAAUAUUUACACAACACAAAUAUAUCCAGCACCCAAAAAGCUAAAAUCCACAAUGUCUGGCAUCCAAUUAAAAAUUACCAGGCAUUCAAAGAAGCAAGAAAAUACAGCUUAAAAUAAGAAAAAAAAUCAAUAAAAACUGAC